Molecule: ribosomal RNA, 359 nt
Filed under: uncultured bacterium
Lineage: Bacteria
Description: bacterial SSU rRNA
Rfam family: Bacterial small subunit ribosomal RNA
Source: RNAcentral
GAUGAACGCUAGCGGCAGGCUUAACACAUGCAAGUCGAGGGGUAUUGGUUUUCGGACCAAGAGACCGGCGCACGGGUGCGUAACGCGUAUGCAAUCUACCUUUUGCAGAGGGAUAGCCCCAGAGAAAUUUGGAUUAAUACCUCAUAGUAUAGUACUUUGGCAUCAAGGAACUAUUAAAGUCACAACGGCAAAAAGAUGAGCAUGCGUCCCAUUAGCUAGUUGGUAAGGUAACGGCUUACCAAGGCUACGAUGGUAGGGGUCCUGAGAGGGAGAUCCCCCACACUGGUACUGAGACACGGACCAGACUCCUACGGGAGGCAGCAGUGGGGAAUUUUGGACAAUGGGCGCAAGCCUGAUCC